This 1434-nucleotide long non-coding RNA is filed under the name Equus caballus (horse). Its description in RNAcentral is "lncRNA (ENSECAG00000056070.1)". Lineage: Eukaryota; Metazoa; Chordata; Mammalia; Perissodactyla; Equidae. The record is from RNAcentral.
AGGAGACUCAGAUCCUCAGGGUUGCAAACGUAUGGAAACCUUCUGGCUCACUUGAGACUGCCCUUACUAGGGAAGAAGCUCCUGAGAGUCAUCAGAAGUACAGCUGAAAAGCCAAUAUCAGCACCAAUGGGAUGCACCUCUAGGCUCUGCAGCUGACAAACUCUCAAGUGGAAUGGCCUUCUGAAUCUUCAAUACCGUGAUGCCAUGCCAGCCUACCUGUGCUCUGAAAUUUAUAUGACCCAGCCUCAGGAAACUCAAUUAUCUUGAUGGGAAGCCACAUCGACCCAGCUCCAUAUCAUUAUGAAAACUGAUUUUUGCAAGACAAAAAAAAAAUAUCCAAGAAUAAAGCACAUAUAGACAGAAAUCUGGAAUAAGUUCCUGAUUAAUUUAUAAUUAUUAAAAGUGAACAUCUCAGCUGAUAUGGAGAUAAUUGAGGUUUGUCUGUAAUGAUUCAGCUGGUCCAAUUUUGGAAUCUAUUUAUCAUACACCAUGUGUUAGAGAUCAACAGCCAAAUCCAGUUUUGGCUCCUGAUCUAUAGUGGGCGACUGUGAAGACGAGAACACACAUGUACUACAAGGAACUUCUGCAUGCACACGAAGUCCUCCGACUUCUAGAAUAUGAAAAUCCCCCACCUCCGUCAGCUUGCAAUAAGCUAGAAAUGAAGAGAACUGUAGCCUCCCAAGCACAACUGUAAAAUUCUAAUUAAAAAAUUGAUUGAUGAAGAAACAAAGAUAGUGUCAUUUAACACUGGCCAGCUGUUUGCCAAACCCAUUUACUUUUCCUCCUGGGCAUGUGGUUAAAGGACGUUUUCCAGUCUGCAAUAAACUGAUGUCUUGACAGUCUUUUAACCAGUGGAAUCUGAGUGGAAAUGACGUAUACUACCUCAAUGCCUGGCAAUAAACAUUUUUGGUGCCUCAAUCUCCAUGAUUUUUCCCUUGCAUAGCUUGAUGCAGAUGUACAUAGUCACUUGGAAGCCACAUGUUGAUGACAGAGCCAUAAGACCAAAGGAUCCUGGGUCCUUGAAUCACUACUUGCAGAAGAACUGGCGAGUGCUUAAGAACACCUCUUUUAGACUUUAUAUGGUAAAUUUCUAUCACUUUGGGGGUUAUAGAAGCUUAUGUCAUCUGAAAUAAAAAGAGGAGUAGUCAAGGGAGGUGUUAAGAAAUAGAAGGGUGGAAUAAAUGGUGUAAAGAUUAUAAUACAAGGUGAUAUAUAUUCAAUCUUAUUCUGCAUUAGUUGACAUAGUUGGAGUAGCUGCUGAUGCUAGGUUCUUCCAGAAAGCAAGACAGCUUACUGGUAAUGAAGUGUAAGUUGAUUUUUUAUUAAUUGGUUUUAGGCUUAGUCGCUCAUGGCCAGCAAUGUGAGAAAGACAAUUCAACAACAAAAACAUUCAUGAGUCUAAGACUAAGCUGUGUAAUCUAAAUAAUUACCUAG